RNAcentral lists this ribosomal RNA (119 nucleotides) under Helianthus annuus (common sunflower). Lineage: Eukaryota; Viridiplantae; Streptophyta; Magnoliopsida; Asterales; Asteraceae. The record is from RNAcentral.
GGUUGCGAUCAUACCAGCACUAAUGCACCGGAUUCCAUCAGAACCCCGCAGUUAAGCAUGCUUGGGCGAGAGUAGUACUAGGAUGGGUGACCCCCUGGGAAGUCCUCGUGUUGCAACCC